This 331-nucleotide unclassified non-coding RNA is filed under the name soil metagenome. RNAcentral describes it as "partial contains 5.8S ribosomal RNA, internal transcribed spacer 2, and large subunit ribosomal RNA". The stretch from base 1 to 120 matches the Rfam family "5.8S ribosomal RNA", at positions 35 to 154 of the family's 154-position model. The record is from RNAcentral.
GAUGAAGAACGUAGUGAGAUGCGAUAAGUAAUGUGAAUUGCAGAAUUCAGUGAAUCAUCGAAUCUUUGAACGCACAUUGCGCCCCCUGGUAUUCCGGGGGGCAUGCCUGUUCGAGCGUCAUUUCACCACUCAAGCCUCGCUUGGUAUUGGGCAACGCGGUCCGCCGCGUGCCUCAAAUCGUCCGGCUGGGUCUUCUGUCCCCUAAGCGUUGUGGAAACUAUUCGCUAAAGGGUGUUCGGGAGGCUACGCCGUAAAACAACCCCAUUUCUAAGGUUGACCUCGGAUCAGGUAGGGAUACCCGCUGAACUUAAGCAUAUCAAUAAGCGGAGGA